CGGACGGGUGAGUAACACGUGGAUAACCUACCUAUAAGACUGGGAUAACUUCGGGAAACCGGAGCUAAUACCGGAUAAUAUAUUGAACCGCAUGGUUCAAUAGUGAAAGACGGUUUUGCUGUCACUUAUAGAUGGAUCCGCGCCGCAUUAGCUAGUUGGUAAGGUAACGGCUUACCAAGGCAGCGAUGCGUAGCCGACCUGAGAGGGUGAUCGGCCACACUGGAACUGAGACAAGGUCCAGACUCCUACGGGAGGCAGCAGCC
Molecule: ribosomal RNA, 263 nt
Filed under: uncultured Staphylococcus sp.
Lineage: Bacteria; Bacillati; Bacillota; Bacilli; Caryophanales; Staphylococcaceae
Description: partial 16S ribosomal RNA
Rfam family: Bacterial small subunit ribosomal RNA
Source: RNAcentral